RNAcentral lists this ribosomal RNA (483 nucleotides) under uncultured bacterium. RNAcentral describes it as "partial 16S ribosomal RNA". It matches the Rfam family "Bacterial small subunit ribosomal RNA", at positions 28 to 523 of the family's 1533-position model. The record is from RNAcentral.
GACGAACGCUGGCGGCGUGCUUUACACAUGCAAGUCGAACGGUGAAGGUGGAGCUUGCUCCGCCGGAUCAGUGGCGAACGGGUGAGUAACACGUGGGCAACCUGCCCCUAACUUUGGGAUAACUACUCGAAAGAGUAGCUAAUACCGGAUAUGAAGUCUGUAGGCAUCUAUGGAUUUGGAAAGUUUUUCGGUUAGGGAUGGGCCGGCGGCCUAUCAGCUUGUUGGUGAGGUAGUGGCUCACCAAGGCGACGACGGGUAGCCGGCCUGAGAGGGCGACCGGCCACACUGGGACUGAGACACGGCCCAGACUCCUACGGGAGGCAGCAGUGGGGAAUAUUGCGCAAUGGGCGAAAGCCUGACGCAGCAACGCCGCGUGCGGGAUGAAGGCCUUCGGGUUGUAGACCGCUUUCAGCAGGGAAGAAGCGAAAGUGACGGUACCUGCAGAAGAAGCACCGGCUAACUACGUGCCAGCCGCCGCCGUAA